GAUAUACUUUCUCCGUUCCAUAAUUCUUGUCUCAAAUUUGCCCAAAAAUGGAUGUAUCUAUUCCUAGAAAGUGUGAUACAUGUAAUAUUUUGACAAGAAUUAUGGAACGGAGGGAGUACAAU
This is a non-coding RNA of Brachypodium distachyon (stiff brome), 122 nucleotides long. Lineage: Eukaryota; Viridiplantae; Streptophyta; Magnoliopsida; Poales; Poaceae. The record is from Rfam.